Long non-coding RNA from Glossina fuscipes, 1747 nucleotides. RefSeq lists it as uncharacterized. The record is from RefSeq and is a predicted model, not a curated record. The transcript is spliced from 2 exons. NCBI's taxonomy places the organism in Eukaryota, Metazoa, Arthropoda, Insecta, Diptera, Glossinidae.
GUGUGUGUGUGUGUGCGUGCAUUUGUGAGCGCGAGUGUACGUAUGUUUUUGCAUUUGGAUGUGUUUGUGUGCAUUAUUUGUCGUUUAGUUAUAGAACUUGUAAAUAUCUCAUACAACAAGUGGUUAUUUAAAUAUAUGUACGCGUGUAUGUGCAUAUUUGUGAGCGCGCGUGUGCAUGUAUAUUUUCGUCCAUGUAAUUGUAAGCCAUGAGUAGAAACGCGAUGUGAAUGAAUUCAUUUCGUUUGUUUAGAUCUUUAAGUUAAACAUUUAAAAGUCAUAAAAUGUAAUUUAUAUAUAGAUUGCGAUUGACGCAAAACCAAAGGGCUUUGAACCACUAAAAUAUUAAUGAUAUACUAAAAAAAAAAAAAAAUAAAUAAAUAAAUAAAAUAGGAAAAUAAACCUAACAAGGGACUCUAAUAGCAGCCUAAAGUCGAACAAUUUCGCACUCAUCCGAGUGUCAUUCACACUGCGCUUAAAGCAAACGUUCAUCAGCGUAUUAAACUUUGGAAAAUAUUUGCUACGAUAAUGAUUUUUUAUAUGUAGCUCUGCUAAGCGAACUUGCAUUCCCAACUUUUCGAAAAGCUUGGCAUUGGUGUACGAGGAUUAGGCGGCAACAGUUUCUCCAAGUCAUUUUUUAAGUGUAUAAAAUUUUUCAAUUAAGUGAUUUCCGGCCUGUUUCUGGAUAUUUGACUUUUUUGACCGUUCAAUGCUGUGAACUAAGUUUCCGCUACAAGAAAAUUCUGCCGAAUAAUAUUAUUACUUUUACAAGCACUAUUACGCUUAUUUCAGAGCUCCGAUUUCAUCAGGCAUAUAGCUCUUUGAAUAGAGCCUAUACAACGCAUUUCUUAAUAUUACCUGCGAUGCUAUGCAGUUAAUAUACUCGUCGAGAAUGCGUCGUUUAUCUUUAAUUUUUCUCUCUAAUUCCCAGAUCAUCAACCUUUCACUUCGAACGUGUCAAAGUUUCUAUCGGUUAUCGUAGGCAUUACCCAAUUAUUUUUUGUGAUAAAUAUGUAAAGUCAAAGCUGAUUAAGGAACAACACUUUCGUGUAAACAAACUGUAAGCUAUUUUCAGGUCGAUAAUAAUCAAAAAAUAAAAAAAACAUCAAAUAAUUGCUUGUUUUGUCACAUAAUAAAUCGAUCAAGAAGCGUUUAAGACCGCUUCAAACGAUUAAAUUUACAGUGUUUCUAUACACCUUCAAUUAAGUUCCGGUUCAUCUUUUAUCCUAUGAUAUAUUAAUGCAAGACUUUGCGAUUAUUGGGCAGAAAAACUUUUAUCCUCUGAUGUCGGAACAUACGCUUCCUAUGUUGCGGUUACAACAAAUAUAUUUAAAUCGACUCAUUAUUUAUGUUUGUAUUUAUGGUAACUAAGCUUUUUAGAACUCGUAUAACAGUGGGACGGGAUCACUUAAAUAUUCAUAAAAAUACUCGCAUUUCGCUCGCUUGCAGUUACCAUAAACAAAUUGCCAUAAUACUACGUUACCUGACGUUGUACGUCAUCGCUUUUUGUCAACUUGAUCGUGAGCCUAUGCUUAAUUUUUAACCGAAUGAUAACAAUGUUGAGGAUAAUAAAAAAAAAGCUUGAAUCAAUCUUAUUAAGAGUUAUAUAAUCAUUUUGAAUAAUUUGUUCAUACUGUCGAUUUGUAAACUUUCCUUUUGGUGACACCGGUGGCUUCAAACCAGCACCUUUCUCUCAAAUGAAAAGUUCUGAAGCUUUUUAGCAUAACCCUUUACAACUUGUUUUACGAAA